This 1072-nucleotide ribosomal RNA is filed under the name uncultured bacterium. Its description in RNAcentral is "bacterial SSU rRNA". It matches the Rfam family "Bacterial small subunit ribosomal RNA", at positions 9 to 1087 of the family's 1533-position model. The record is from RNAcentral.
GAGUUUGAUCAUGGCUCAGGACGAACGCUGGCGGCGUGCUUAACACAUGCAAGUCGAACGGUAAGGCCCCUUUUUUGGGGUGUACGAGUGGCGAACGGGUGAGUAACACGUGAGUAACCUGCCCCAGACUUUGGGAUAACAGUUGGAAACGAUUGCUAAUACUGGAUAUGAGCUGCUGCCGCAUGGUGGUGGUUUGAAAGUUCCGGCGGUUUGGGAUGGGCUCGCGGCCUAUCAGCUUGUUGGUGAGGUGAUGGCUUACCAAGGCUUCGACGGGUAGCCGGCCUGAGAGGGCGACCGGCCACAUUGGGACUGAGAUACGGCCCAAACUCCUACGGGAGGCAGCAGUGGGGAAUAUUGCACAAUGGACGGAAGUCUGAUGCAGCAACGCCGCGUGCGGGAUGACGGCCUUCGGGUUGUAAACCGCUUUCAUCCAUGACGAAGCUUUUGUGACGGUAGUGGGUAAAGAAGCACCGGCUAACUACGUGCCAGCAGCCGCGGUGAUACGUAGGGUGCGAGCGUUGUCCGGAUUUAUUGGGCGUAAAGAGCUUGUAGGCGGUUUGUCGCGUCGGGAGUGAAAACUCGGAGCUUAACUUUGAGCUUGCUUUCGAUACGGGCUGACUUGAGGGAGGUAGGGGAGAAUGGAAUUCCUGGUGGAGCGGUGGAAUGCGCAGAUAUCAGGAGGAACACCGGUGGCGAAGGCGGUUCUCUGGACCUUUCCUGACGCUGAGAAGCGAAAGCGUGGGGAGCGAACAGGCUUAGAUACCCUGGUAGUCCACGCCGUAAACGGUGGGUACUAGGUGUGGGGGACAUUCCACGCUCUCCGUGCCGUAGCUAACGCAUUAAGUACCCCGCCUGGGGGAGUACGGCCGCAAAGGCUAAAACUCAAAGGGAAUUGACGGGGCCCCCGCACGAAGCGGCGGAGCAUGCGGAUUAAUUCGAUGCAAACGCGAAGAACCUUACCUGGGUUUGACAUAUGCCGGGAGCGUUUCAGAGAUGGGCGUGCCUUUUUGGUCGGUUUACAGGUGGUGCAUGGCUGUCGUCAGCUCGUGUCGUGAAAUGUUGGGGUAAAUCC